Long non-coding RNA from Oryza brachyantha (malo sina), 976 nucleotides. RefSeq lists it as uncharacterized. The transcript is spliced from 3 exons. NCBI's taxonomy places the organism in Eukaryota, Viridiplantae, Streptophyta, Magnoliopsida, Poales, Poaceae. The record is from RefSeq and is a predicted model, not a curated record.
UUUCUUUAUCCCAAGCCCAACACGAGCCGCAAGGUAACCGCCUAACCCGUUCCCCCUUCCAGAGAGUGCCCGGCCGGCCGCUCCGUCUCCUCUUCUCUCCUGGCCGUUCCGCCGCGCUUGCUCCUCCCGGGGCCCGUGCCACCGCCCGCCGGAGCCGGAACAGCCUGCGGCCGCGCCACCGCGACGCGGUGUUCGGCUGUGCGACGCAAUGCCAGCCAGGGAUGGCCUGGAGGAAGGGAUCAAGCCGCGCCUUCCUCCUUCCUUGUGAGGCGGUGUGCUCAGGGUGUUCGGCGAAAUGGUCGAGUGCCUUGAACUGGUCGACGGCAGCCGUGGCAGUCGAAGAGCUCGUGGGGACGGGCGCAUUGGGAAGGCGCCGGAGGGCCAUGCCGCACCAGCGCGUGGCAAUGAUGAUUGACAUUGAUGCAUCAUGCAUAAAUUCACUCGACGUGACAUCACAUCUCUUACCAGCUGCCCUAUGAGGCCAUGAUCGGAUCUGUUUGGUGAAAGAGGAAAGGGAUAUCUCCAUCAUCCGGAGAGAGUUUGCAAAUAAUUUUGUAACCAAUCAUCGGCGUCGCGGUCAUGGUGUGCACAUGCUUUGGGCAACCGCAAAGCUCAACUGGGGUAGUUGACCUAAGGGCCAAGGCGUUUACUUUCUGUGUAUCAAGCGUGCGUUUGGGGCUUAUCUGCUCCAAUCUCCAAUCGUUGCAAGCUGCCAUAUGAUUGUUGACCAUGGAGGCAUAAGGAAUUAUGGAUUAUCAACUAGAACUAUGCCCGCGUUCGGCUCCCCCGUAUGACACCCUGGAUACCACCGUCUGGAUUUCAUUUCAAAAGUGCUGGUAGUCGGCUGGCUGAUCACUUGCAUUGUGACACAAGGGAGCCUGAUUCUUGUGCAGAUAUGUGUUCCCAUCUUUUUGCUCUUGUGUAGGUUUAUGUAGGUUUAUAUGCUAAAAUUUAAAAUUUUAACUUUAAAUUUAGA